ACAAGCGGAGGAACAUGUGGUUUAAUCGAUGAUACGCGAGGAACCUUACCUGGGCUUAAAUGUAGAGUGCAUGAUGUGGAAACAUGUCUUCCUUCGGGGCUCUCUGCAAGGUGCUGCAUGGUUGUCGUCAGCUCGUGCCGUGAGGUGUCGGGUUAAGUCCCAUAACGAGCGCAACCCUUAUCGUUAGUUGCCAGCGGGUAAUGCCGGGAACUCUAACGAAACUGCCGGUGUAAACCGAGAGGAAGGUGGGAUGACGUCAAAUCAGCACGGCCCUUAUGUCCAGGGCUACACACGUGUUACAAUGGCCGGUACAGAGGGCAGCUACCUGGAGACAGGAUGCGAAUCUCGAAAGCCGGUCUCAGUUCGGAUCGGAGUCUGCAACUCGACUCCGUGAAGCUGGAUUCGCUAGUAAUCGCGCAUCAGCCAUGGCGCGGUGAAUACGUUCCCGGGCCUU
This 454-nucleotide ribosomal RNA is filed under the name uncultured Sphingobacteriales bacterium. RNAcentral's name for it is "bacterial SSU rRNA". It matches the Rfam family "Bacterial small subunit ribosomal RNA", at positions 925 to 1382 of the family's 1533-position model. Lineage: Bacteria; Pseudomonadati; Bacteroidota; Sphingobacteriia; Sphingobacteriales. The record is from RNAcentral.